UAAGUGCUCUCUGUGGGGUGA
Molecule: microRNA, 21 nt
Filed under: Sarcophilus harrisii (Tasmanian devil)
Lineage: Eukaryota; Metazoa; Chordata; Mammalia; Dasyuromorphia; Dasyuridae
Description: Sha-Mir-430-o15_3p (mature (guide))
Source: RNAcentral